Molecule: ribosomal RNA, 596 nt
Filed under: uncultured Bacteroidota bacterium
Lineage: Bacteria; Pseudomonadati; Bacteroidota
Description: uncultured Bacteroidetes bacterium partial 16S ribosomal RNA
Rfam family: Bacterial small subunit ribosomal RNA
Source: RNAcentral
CNACCUUCCGCUUACUCGGGGAUAGCCUUUCGAAAGAAAGAUUAAUACCCGAUGGUAUCUUAAGCACNCAUGANAUUAAGAUUAAAGAUUUAUCGGUAAGCGAUGGGGAUGCGUUCCAUUAGGCAGUUGGCGGGGUAACGGCCCGCCAAACCUACGAUGGAUAGGGGUUCUGAGAGGAAGGUCCCCCACAUUGGAACUGAGACACGGUCCAAACUCCUACGGGAGGCAGCANUGAGGAAUAUUGGUCAAUGGGCGAGAGCCUGGACCANCCAAGUANCGUGAAGGAUGACGGCCCUACGGGUUGUAAACUUCUUUUGUGCGGGAAUAAAGGAGCUUACGUGUAGGCUUUUGCAUGUACCGUAACGAAUAAGCAUCGGCUAACUCCGUGCCAGCAGCCGCGGUAAUACGGAGGAUGCGAGCGUUAUCCGGAUUUAUUGGGUUUAAAGGGAGCGUAGAUGGAUGUUUAAGUCANUUGUGAAAGUUUGCGGCUCAACCGUAAAAUUGCANUUGAUACUGGAUAUCUUGAGUGCANUUGAGGCAGGCGGAAUUCNUGGUGUANCGGUGANAUGCUUANAUAUCANNAANAACUCCGAUUG